Molecule: long non-coding RNA, 1185 nt
Filed under: Sus scrofa (pig)
Lineage: Eukaryota; Metazoa; Chordata; Mammalia; Artiodactyla; Suidae
Description: lncRNA (ENSSSCG00060074497.1)
Source: RNAcentral
GUGUGUUUUCAAUUUGGACAUCUCCGAACUUCGUAUAUAUGUUACAGAUGCUGUCAACCAGUACCAGUUGUGGGCGGAGCUGUCCUUGGCUACACGGGGGCAAACCUCAUUAUUACUCCUGGUAUCAAACUGGAAAAUGAUAACCUCUAGACACUGGAGUCAAUUUACAGGCCUUCUGAGCCCUUGGCUGGUCUCUGAAACUUUCUUUGACAUCUUCUGAUACACCCAAACUUCCAGAAUAGGCCCCACUUUCCUCCUUUUGUGUGCAAGAGGAAAUUCUCGUGUGUGAUUCAUUUGACAAUCUCAGCUUCUUCUUUCUGGGGAAGUAACUCUACUUAGUAGUCAUCACCUCAAAGUGGCUAGCUGUUGGGCAAGAAGUUGCUAUUGCAUCCGCAUGUCUAGGAUUUAAUCUUCAGAGAAGAUGAUAUUCUAUCGCAGUGAAAUUCUGUCUUGCCCAAGGGGCUUUAGGCAUGGGAGGUGAGCCAAGCGCUGUCAAGGGGGAAGCUGACGCAGUCGAGGCUGGUUCUGGUUCUAGAGAACUGUGUUGCUGGUGCUUAGAGGAAUGGUGGAGACUAGAAGGUUUCUUCCUCCCUGCUUUCAAGCAAGUAGAGACUGUUCCAUCCUGAUUACAAGAGCAUCCAGCUUGACCCUGCUGAUCCUGAGUCAGCACUCUGCACUGCUCUGCUCUUUCCACACCAAAACUCUCUGUCUGGUCUCCACAUCCAGCGACAGUGCUGAACUUUUGCUUCAUACAACGUUUCGAGUAAGUAAAAGCACCCAUUACAUAGUUGGCACUCGCAUAUUUGCACCUUUUCUUUCAUAUGAGAUCCAAGGUUUCAUUUGUAGACUCUUUGUGCCCUCUCUCCAUGAUAUUUCAUACUGUCGACGUCCAGCUGGUUGAAUUUCUCUUCAGGUUUUCCGUGUUAUCUCUCUUAUAGAUUUCUGUGUUACUCUAACAUUCGUUUCCAUUACCAAGAUAACACUACAGGGCUGUCUUUUUGACCAUACAGGUGGACCUUGUUUUGUAGCGAUUUGCUUUGUUGUGCCUCUCAGGUAUUUUGUUUUUGACAAGUUAAAGGUUUCGGGCAACUAUGCAUUGGGCACAUCUAUUGGCACCGCUUUUCCGAGAGUGUUUGCUUACUUCGUGUCUCUGUGUCUCAUUUUGGUAACUCUCAAGGUAUUUUA